GGGGAAUAUUGCACAAUGGGGGAAACCCUGAUGCAGCGACGCCGCGUGGAGGAAGAAGGUCUUCGGAUUGUAAACUCCUGUUGUUGAGGAAGAUAAUGACGGUACUCAACAAGGAAGUGACGGCUAACUACGUGCCAGCAGCCGCGGUAAAACGUAGGUCACAAGCGUUGUCCGGAAUUACUGGGUGUAAAGGGAGCGCAGGCGGGAAGACAAGUUGGAAGUGAAAUCUAUGGGCUCAACCCAUAAACUGCUUUCAAAACUGUUUUUCUUGAGUAGUGCAGAGGUAGGCGGAAUUCCCGGUGUAGCGGUGGAAUGCGUAGAUAUCGGGAGGAACACCAGUGGCGAAGGCGGCCUACUGGGCACCAACUGACGCUGAGGCUCGAAAGUGUGGGUAGCAAACAGGAUUAGAUACCCUGGUAGUCCACACCGUAAACGAUGAUUACUAGGUGUUGGAGGAUUGACCCCUUCAGUGCCGCAGUUAACACAAUAAGUAAUCCACCUGGGGAGUACGACCGCAAGGUUGAAACUCAAAGGAAUUGACGGGGGCCCGCACAAGCAGUGGAGUAUGUGGUUUAAUUCGACGCAACGCGAAGAACCUUACCAAGUCUUGACAUCCUGCGACGCACAUAGAAAUAUGUGUUUCCUUCGGGACGCAGAGACAGGUGGUGCAUGGUUGUCGUCAGCUCGUGUCGUGAGAUGUUGGGUUAAGUCCCGCAACGAGCGCAACCCUUACUGUCAGUUACUACGCAAGAGGACUCUGGCAGGACUGCCGUUGACAAAACGGAGGAAGGUGGGGAUGACGUCAAAUCAUCAUGCCCUUUAUGACUUGGGCUACACACGUACUACAAUGGCGUUAAACAAAGAGAAGCAAUCCCGCGAGGGGGAGCAAAUCUCAAAAAUAACGUCUCAGUUCGGACUGUAGUCUGCAACUCGACUACACGAAGCUGGAAUCGCUAGUAAUCGCGAAUCAGAAUGUCGCGGUGAAUACGUUCCCG
Molecule: ribosomal RNA, 995 nt
Filed under: uncultured bacterium
Lineage: Bacteria
Description: bacterial SSU rRNA
Rfam family: Bacterial small subunit ribosomal RNA
Source: RNAcentral